RNAcentral lists this long non-coding RNA (1037 nucleotides) under Anas platyrhynchos platyrhynchos (common mallard). RNAcentral describes it as "lncRNA (ENSAPLG00000021408.1)". The record is from RNAcentral. Lineage: Eukaryota; Metazoa; Chordata; Aves; Anseriformes; Anatidae.
CACUGCGCCAGUAUCGCUGGAAGGAGCCGCACGAGGGGCACCAACCCCCUCAGGCUGCCUUCCCCCCCCCCCCACCCCCCCCCCCGGCCGGCUCCAUGCCCGGCGGCGCCGGAAGGGAUUAGUCGCCCUUCCGCCGCGGGGUCACGUGACGUCCCGUCGGCCCCGCAAGAUGGCGGCGCCCAUGUUGCUGCCCGAGUCCCCCCUGGGGAAGCUGAGGUGAGGCCGGGCCGCGCCCCCCCCCCGCCCCCGCCGCCGAGGGAGGGAGCCCCGGGGGGAGCUCGGGAGGGGUCCGCGGCUCGCUCCUCGUCCCGGCCGAGGGCCCGGCGGUGCCUCCGUGCGGCGGGCCCGGCGCUGAGGCCGCCUCGCGGCCGGGCCCGGGAGUGGCGCAGCUCCCUGCCGCCAUGGCCGCCCCGCCAAGGGGGCCCUGAGGGCCGGGGGGGGUCGGGGAGGUGCGGGGGAGGCCCUGAGGGGGCUGCGGGGCCGCUGCGCUGCGCAGGGGUUGGGAGCCGGGCUGAGGGGAGCUGGGCGCGGGGCGGGGGGGGGGCGCGGGGGGCGCCCCGCGCACGCCGGGGGGGGGGGGGGGGUCCCAGGGCGUUGGUGGUGCAGGGGGGGAAGCCAAAAAAUGGUCCUGCGGCGAGGUUUGGGUCUGUGAGGGAAGGAGCUCGGCUUGAUGCGGCUCGUCGCGGUGCUAUGAGUGGCACGCAGCACUCGCGCAUAGCCACGAGCUUAGCUGGAGAUGCAGCCAUCAAAAAUACAGAGCUAUUCUGAAAAAAGAAAAGCGGAAAAAAAAGCGGCAGGCACUGGCCAAACUGAGAGACUCUGAAGCUACAGAAAAAGAUGAAUCAGUGUCUGAGGAGGAAGAGGAGGAACUGGAAGAAGAGGAAGAAGAAGAAGAGGAGAAAAAGCUCGAGGCAGAAAGGUGAAACAGCUAGAAACUAGCAUAUGCUUAGUAGAAAGGUUUUUAGCCAAUUACAUUUUGAAAAUUUGAAAAGUCUCAAUAUAUUUUAUGAAAUAGAAUCCUUAAUCUGUGCUUUAUG